UCUUGCGAUGCUACCUGCAAGUCGAACGAUGAACCCUUCAGGGUGGAUUAGUGGCGAACGGGUGAGUAACACGUGGGCAAUCUGCCCUUCACUCUGGGACAAGCCCUGGAAACGGGGUAUAAUACCGGAUAACACUCUGUCCCGCAUGGGACGGGGUUGAAAGCUCCGGCGGUGAAGGAUGAGCCCGCGGGCUAUCAGCUUGUUGGUGGGGUAAUGGGGUACCGAGGCGACGACGGGUAGCCGGCCUGAGAGGGCGACCGGCCACACUGGGACUGAGACACGGACCAAACUCCUACAGGAGGCAGCAAUGGGGAAUAUUGCACAAUGGGCGAAAGCCUGAUGCCCCGACGCCGCGUGAGGGAUGACGGCCUUCGGGUUGUAAACCUCUUUCAGCAGGGAAGAAGCGAUAGUGACGGUACCUGCAGAAGAAGCGCCGGCUAACUACUUGCCAGCAGCCGCGGUAAUACGUAGGGCGCAAGCGUUGUCCGGAAUUAUUGGGCGUAAAGAGCUCGUAGGCGGCUUGUCACGUCCGAUGUGAGAGCCCGGGGCUUAACCCCGGGGCUGCAUUCGAUACGGGCUAGCUAGAGUGUGGUAGGGGAGAUCGGAAUUCCUGGAGUAGCGGUGAAAUGCGGCAGAUAUCAGGAGAAACACCGGAUGGCAGAAGGCGGGAUCUAUGGGCCCAUUACUGACGCUGAGGAGCCAAAGCGUGCAGAGCCGAACAGGAUUACAUACCCUGAUAGUCCACGACGAAAACAUUGGGAAACUAGGUGUCGGCGACAUUACACGUCGUCGGUGACCGCAGCUAACGCAUUAAGAUCCCCGCCUGGGGAGUGCGGCCGCAAGGCUAAAACUCAAAGGAAUUAACGAGGGCCCGCGCAAGCAGCGGAGCAUGUGGCUUAAUUUGACGCAACGCGAAGAACCUUACCAAGGCUCGACAUAUACCGGAAAGCAUCAGAGAUGGUGCCCCCCUUGUGGUCGGUAUACAGGUGGUGCAUGGCUGUCGUCAGCUCGUGUCGUGAGAUGUUGGGUUAAGUCCCGCAACGAGCGCAACCCUUGUUCUGUGUUCCCAGCAUGCCCUUCGGGGUGAUGGGGACUCACAGGAAGCUGCCGGGGUCAACUCGGAGGAAGGUGGGGAGGACGUCAAGUCAUCAUCCCCCUUAUGUCUUGGGCUGCACACCUGCUACAAUGACCGGUACAAUGAACUGCGAUGCCGCGAGGCGGAGCGAAUCUCAAAAAACCGGUCUCACUUAGGAUUGGGGUCUGCAACUAGCCCCCAUGCAGUAGGAGUUAAUAGUAAUUACAGAUCAACAUUCAUGCGGCGAAUAAGUUCCCGGCCCUCGUACUCCCCGCCCCUCGUCUCACCAAAGUAGGUAACACCCGAAGAACGGUGGCCCAUCCCCUUGAGGGAGGGAGCUUCCAAGGAGACUCAUG
RNAcentral lists this ribosomal RNA (1431 nucleotides) under Streptomyces sp. RNAcentral's name for it is "bacterial SSU rRNA". It matches the Rfam family "Bacterial small subunit ribosomal RNA". Lineage: Bacteria; Bacillati; Actinomycetota; Actinomycetes; Kitasatosporales; Streptomycetaceae. The record is from RNAcentral.